Molecule: ribosomal RNA, 270 nt
Filed under: uncultured bacterium
Lineage: Bacteria
Description: partial 16S ribosomal RNA
Rfam family: Bacterial small subunit ribosomal RNA
Source: RNAcentral
CCGGUACAACGGGGUGCGACACGGUGACGUGGGGCGGAUCCCUGAAAAACCGGUCUCAGUUCGGAUCGCAGUCUGCAACUCGACUGCGUGAAGGUGGAGUCGCUAGUAAUCGCGGAUCUGCAACGCCGCGGUGAAUGCGUUCCCGGGCCUUGUACACACCGCCCGUCAAGUCAUGAAAGUGGGCAGCACCCGAAGACGGUGGCCUAACCCUUGUGGGGGGAGCCGUCUAAGGUGAGGCUCGUGAUUGGGACUAAGUCGUAACAAGGUAUC